AAACUGUGCAUCGGGCAUUUUCUAAUUAACUCAUUGAAUAACUCCCAUGAUUCAUAUAAUGUUUCGUCCUCAGAUUGCCGAAAGGAAGUAAUAUCGUUCCUCAGUUU
Molecule: small nucleolar RNA, 107 nt
Filed under: Gossypium hirsutum (cotton)
Lineage: Eukaryota; Viridiplantae; Streptophyta; Magnoliopsida; Malvales; Malvaceae
Also listed under: 1 other name
Description: Plant small nucleolar RNA R71
Rfam family: Plant small nucleolar RNA R71
About the family: R71 is a member of the C/D box family of snoRNAs containing the C (UGAUGA) and D (CUGA) box motifs. Multiple nearly identical copies of this snoRNA have been identified in Arabidopsis, and it is thought to function as a 2'-O-ribose methylation guide for 18S ribosomal RNA.
Source: Rfam by way of RNAcentral